GUGAAGUAUUUUGCUCAAGGUCGUUCAUCAAAUUAGUAGUUUAAUUAACUCAGUGUUCUAGGAAGCAGGGUAGUAGAAAAGCAUGGGAUUCGGAGUCUGAAAUCUUCCUUGGUUUCUGGUCCUUGUAGGCUGUUUUACAAGUGUAUCUUGGGCAAAUCCCUUAACGUCUUGCCAUUUAUUAAGGGCUUACUUACCACGUGGCAAACAAUCCACUUUGCAUGCUGUGUCAAUUACAUGCAGUAUGUCGUGUAGUUAUUACUGUCCCCAUUUUAUGAGGUAGUUUAGGUUUAAAGAUAUUAGAAAUUUACCCAAAGUUACGCAGUUAUAAACAUUGUAGUAAUUUCAAACUCAGGUCUUCGUGACUGCAAAGGCUGCUGUCUUAAGUAUUGUAAUACAUUAGAGCUCCGGAUUCCCUCCCACUCAAAACAGAGACUGAGACUCCAACCAAUUUCCACCAUUAUUGGGAGUCAAACGAGAGAGACUGUGGCAAUGUAUUCUAAGCUGUACAAAGGUAUAAACAUAUUCACUAGAUUUGUAGAAUGAAGUUAUUCCUUCCCUAUACUUUCCACUACAACAAUUCAGCCAAAAAGAUGGCUUUCAUACUAAGCAUAAGAAGGAACUUCACUGUAAUUAUGAUAUUCUAACCAAGAAUAUAUGCAUAUCUAGGCAAUAACCAAAGUGAAUAGAAUAAAAUUUAAUUCCUGAUAGAUUAAAUAGGCAAUAGCAAGGAAUGCUAACGCUCCUCAUAGCGUUCUUGUUGGAAGAAUCAUCUAGGAGGCAUUGGGAUUUCUGGUGCUUUUUAAGCAAUGAGAGAUAUCAGUCCACUGAAUGAGGAAGAGAAUAACGUUUAGUUUCGGACUAAAAGUUCAUCUGGACUACGGAAAACACGUUUGCCUCAAUCAGUGAAGAAGGUAUGCUGAGAGCUGAAAGAAAAGGAAAGCAGCAACAGUGAGAGCUCAGAAAUUCCCAGACUGUUUUGAUGAUAAGGUCCAAGAACUUGCCAUGUGAUCCAUCACUACUAGACUCCCACAACUGCAUUAGAUUUGUUCAGGAUUUUCAUAUAAUUUUCAUAACUGGCUAAGUUCUGAAAUAACCCAUCUUGAAGACAUAAACAAUGUGCAUUGAUGGCUAGCCAGACUCUGUCCUGCCACAGUUCUCCUCCUACUCUUCAUUUCUUACCCCAAGGAGUAGUAAACAUGAAUCCUGACCCACCAAUGCAGUCCCAGAACUGAGAAAAGAUUCACUGCAGCUAAACAGAUUAUUUUUGCACCUUUGGAAAGCAACUGAAAAAGGAAGCCUGGAAAAAAUCCUGCCUAACAAAGCAGCAGUACUCAAAUAGCUUUAACUAUAAGAAAGAACUGAUUCAAGAUAUGAGAAG
RNAcentral lists this long non-coding RNA (1378 nucleotides) under Homo sapiens (human). RNAcentral describes it as "non-protein coding LINC02588:22". Lineage: Eukaryota; Metazoa; Chordata; Mammalia; Primates; Hominidae. The record is from RNAcentral.